This 1395-nucleotide ribosomal RNA is filed under the name bacterium. RNAcentral's name for it is "bacterial SSU rRNA". It matches the Rfam family "Bacterial small subunit ribosomal RNA". The record is from RNAcentral.
GAGCGGUAGCACAGAGAGCUUGCUCUCGGGUGACGAGCGGCGGACGGGUGAGUAAUGUCUGGGAAACUGCCUGAUGGAGGGGGAUAACUACUGGAAACGGUAGCUAAUACCGCAUAAUGUCGCAAGACCAAAGUGGGGGACCUUCGGGCCUCAUGCCAUCAGAUGUGCCCAGAUGGGAUUAGCUAGUAGGUGGGGUAACGGCUCACCUAGGCGACGAUCCCUAGCUGGUCUGAGAGGAUGACCAGCCACACUGGAACUGAGACACGGUCCAGACUCCUACGGGAGGCAGCAGUGGGGAAUAUUGCACAAUGGGCGCAAGCCUGAUGCAGCCAUGCCGCGUGUGUGAAGAAGGCCUUCGGGUUGUAAAGCACUUUCAGCGGGGAGGAAGGCGGUGAGGUUAAUAACCUUGUCGAUUGACGUUACCCGCAGAAGAAGCACCGGCUAACUCCGUGCCAGCAGCCGCGGUAAUACGGAGGGUGCAAGCGUUAAUCGGAAUUACUGGGCGUAAAGCGCACGCAGGCGGUCUGUCAAGUCGGAUGUGAAAUCCCCGGGCUCAACCUGGGAACUGCAUUCGAAACUGGCAGGCUAGAGUCUUGUAGAGGGGGGUAGAAUUCCAGGUGUAGCGGUGAAAUGCGUAGAGAUCUGGAGGAAUACCGGUGGCGAAGGCGGCCCCCUGGACAAAGACUGACGCUCAGGUGCGAAAGCGUGGGGAGCAAACAGGAUUAGAUACCCUGGUAGUCCACGCCGUAAACGAUGUCGAUUUGGAGGUUGUGCCCUUGAGGCGUGGCUUCCGGAGCUAACGCGUUAAAUCGACCGCCUGGGGAGUACGGCCGCAAGGUUAAAACUCAAAUGAAUUGACGGGGGCCCGCACAAGCGGUGGAGCAUGUGGUUUAAUUCGAUGCAACGCGAAGAACCUUACCUGGUCUUGACAUCCACAGAACUUUCCAGAGAUGGAUUGGUGCCUUCGGGAACUGUGAGACAGGUGCUGCAUGGCUGUCGUCAGCUCGUGUUGUGAAAUGUUGGGUUAAGUCCCGCAACGAGCGCAACCCUUAUCCUUUGUUGCCAGCGGUUAGGCCGGGAACUCAAAGGAGACUGCCAGUGAUAAACUGGAGGAAGGUGGGGAUGACGUCAAGUCAUCAUGGCCCUUACGACCAGGGCUACACACGUGCUACAAUGGCAUAUACAAAGAGAAGCGACCUCGCGAGAGCAAGCGGACCUCAUAAAGUAUGUCGUAGUCCGGAUUGGAGUCUGCAACUCGACUCCAUGAAGUCGGAAUCGCUAGUAAUCGUAGAUCAGAAUGCUACGGUGAAUACGUUCCCGGGCCUUGUACACACCGCCCGUCACACCAUGGGAGUGGGUUGCAAAAGAAGUAGGUAGCUUAACCUUCGGGAGGGC